RNAcentral lists this ribosomal RNA (492 nucleotides) under uncultured bacterium. Its description in RNAcentral is "SSU rRNA". It matches the Rfam family "Bacterial small subunit ribosomal RNA", at positions 26 to 518 of the family's 1533-position model. The record is from RNAcentral.
AGGACGAACGCUGGCGGCGUGCUUAACACAUGCAAGUCGAGCGAGAGCCAGCUGAGGGGUAACCCUCGGCUGGGGACAGCGGCGAACGGGUGCGUAACACGUGGGCAACCUGCCCCUGACACUGGGAUAACCCCGGGAAACCGGAGCUAAUACCGGAUACUCUCGGCCGAUCACAUGGCUGGCCGAGGAAAGGUCCGCCGGUCAGGGAUGGGCCCGCGGCCUAUCAGCUUGUUGGUGGGGUAACGGCCUACCAAGGCGACGACGGGUAGCUGGUCUGAGAGGACGACCAGCCACACUGGAACUGAGAUACGGUCCAGACUCCUACGGGAGGCAGCAGUGGGGAAUAUUGCACAAUGGGCGAAAGCCUGAUGCAGCGACGCCGCGUGAGGGAUGAAGGCCUUCGGGUCGUAAACCUCUUUCGGCAGGGACGAAGCGAUCAGUGACGGUACCUGCAGAAGAACGCCCGGACUAACGUACGUCGCCAGCAGCCGC